This 252-nucleotide ribosomal RNA is filed under the name Staphylococcus aureus. Its description in RNAcentral is "partial 16S ribosomal RNA". It matches the Rfam family "Bacterial small subunit ribosomal RNA", at positions 1223 to 1473 of the family's 1533-position model. Lineage: Bacteria; Bacillati; Bacillota; Bacilli; Caryophanales; Staphylococcaceae. The record is from RNAcentral.
UGCUACAAUGGACACUACACAGGGCGGCGAAACCGCGAGAUCAAGCAAAUCCCCGAAAGUUGUGCUCAUUUCUGAUUGUCAUCUGCAACGGGAAUACAUGAUGCUGGAUUCGCUAGUAUUCGUAGAUCAGCUUGGUACGGUGGAUACUUUGCCGGGUCUUGUACACGCGGCCCGUCAGACCGCGCGAGUUUGUAACAUGCGAAGCCGGUGGUGUAACCUUUUAGGAGCUAGCCGUCGAAGGUUGGACAAAUG